RNAcentral lists this ribosomal RNA (491 nucleotides) under Eriobotrya henryi. Its description in RNAcentral is "eukaryotic LSU rRNA". The stretch from base 5 to 160 matches the Rfam family "5.8S ribosomal RNA". Lineage: Eukaryota; Viridiplantae; Streptophyta; Magnoliopsida; Rosales; Rosaceae. The record is from RNAcentral.
AAACGACUCUCGGCAACGGAUAUCUCGGCUCUCGCAUCGAUGAAGAACGUAGCGAAAUGCGAUACUUGGUGUGAAUUGCAGAAUCCCGUGAACCAUCGAGUCUUUGAACGCAAGUUGCGCCCGAAGCCGUCAGGCCGAGGGCACGCCUGCCUGGGCGUCACACGCCGUUGCCUUCCCCGCGCGCCUCCCUCGGGGGCGUCGGGGAGGGCGGACGAUGGCCUCCCGUGCCUCACCCCGCGCGGUUGGCCCAAAUGCCGAGUCCUCGGCGACGAACGCCACGACAGUCGGUGGUUGUCAAACCUCGGUUGCCUGUUGCGCGCGUUCGUCGCGCUCCGAGCGGCUCGCGACGGUCGCUGCUCUGCAUCGGCGGAGCUUUCAACGCGACCCCAGGUCAGGCGGGGUUACCCGCUGAAUUUAAGCAUAUCAAUAAGCGGAGGAAAAGAAACUUACGAGGAUUCCCCUAGUAACGGCGAGCGAACCGGGAACAGCCC